UACGGAGGGGGCUAGCGUUGUUCGGAAUUACUGGGCGUAAAGCGCACGUAGGCGGCUUUGUAAGUUAGAGGUGAAAGCCCGGGGCUCAACUCCGGAAUUGCCUUUAAGACUGCAUCGCUAGAAUUGUGGAGAGGUAAGUGGAAUUCCGAGUGUAGAGGUGAAAUUCGUAGAUAUUCGGAAGAACACCAGUGGCGAAGGCGACUUACUGGACACAUAUUGACACUCAGGUGCGACAGCGUGGGGAGCAAACAGG
This 253-nucleotide ribosomal RNA is filed under the name uncultured bacterium. RNAcentral's name for it is "partial 16S ribosomal RNA". It matches the Rfam family "Bacterial small subunit ribosomal RNA", at positions 524 to 776 of the family's 1533-position model. The record is from RNAcentral.